This 507-nucleotide ribosomal RNA is filed under the name uncultured bacterium. RNAcentral describes it as "bacterial SSU rRNA". It matches the Rfam family "Bacterial small subunit ribosomal RNA", at positions 331 to 830 of the family's 1533-position model. The record is from RNAcentral.
CCAGACUCCUACGGGAGGCAGCAGUAGGGAAUCUUCGGCAAUGGACGGAAGUCUGACCGAGCAACGCCGCGUGAGUGAAGAAGGUUUUCGGAUCGUAAAGCUCUGUUGUAAGAGAAGAACGAGUGUGAGAGUGGAAAGUUCACACUGUGACGGUAUCUUACCAGAAAGGGACGGCUAACUACGUGCCAGCAGCCGCGGUAAUACGUAGGUCCCGAGCGUUGUCCGGAUUUAUUGGGCGUAAAGCGAGCGCAGGCGGUUAGAUAAGUCUGAAGUUAAAGGCUGUGGCUUAACCAUAGUACGCUUUGGAAACUGUUUAACUUGAGUGCAAGAGGGGAGAGUGGAAUUCCAUGUGUAGCGGUGAAAUGCGUAGAUAUAUGGAGGAACACCGGUGGCGAAAGCGGCUCUCUGGCUUGUAACUGACGCUGAGGCUCGAAAGCGUGGGGAGCAAACAGGAUUAGAUACCCUGGUAGUCCACGCCGUAAACGAUGAGUGCUAGGUGUUAGACCC